GGACCCGUCGUAUAACGGCUAGUACCCCUGGUUUUGGUCCAGGUAGUUGAGGUUCAAUUCCUUGCGGGUCUG
Molecule: transfer RNA, 72 nt
Filed under: Lewinella sp. 4G2
Lineage: Bacteria; Pseudomonadati; Bacteroidota; Saprospiria; Saprospirales; Lewinellaceae
Rfam family: tRNA
About the family: Transfer RNA (tRNA) molecules are approximately 80 nucleotides in length. Their secondary structure includes four short double-helical elements and three loops (D, anti-codon, and T loops).
Source: Rfam by way of RNAcentral